CUUUUUUCUCUUCCUUCUUUUCCUCUUGUUUCACCUCUUCUUCCUCCUCUUCUUCGUGUUCCUCGAAGAAUAAUGUCUGAGCCCUCUUGCUGCAUUUUCGUCUCAUGGGUUGUGAUUCUUUUUUUUCCUUUCUACUCAGUUUAAAAAUAAACGAAAAUAAAUAAA
This 165-nucleotide non-coding RNA is filed under the name Paramoeba aestuarina. Lineage: Eukaryota; Discosea; Flabellinia; Dactylopodida; Paramoebidae. The record is from RNAcentral.